AUGCGCACUGCGGCUGGCCCGCUCUCCGAGGAGCUUUGGAUACUUUGGGGUCAAGUUUGAGGCAGUUGUAAGUGUACUAAGUUUAGUUUUGCUAAUAAUGGUAUUCUACGUGUGUCAGCCUCGUAUGGACUUCUGUAAUGACUAAUGGAUAUGUUUUUGCCCUGAGCAUUUGCUCUAGGACUUUUAAAUGAAAUCCCCAAACUCAAGAUUACCUUAUUUGGAGAAAUUAUUAGUGUUAUUAUGUUUAAAAUGUAAUAGAUAGAGCGAUAUUUUACCUUUCACUUUGGGACUCGCACAGGAUGUUUGCAGCUUUUGAUACACACGAGUGGAGAAGGAGCAGUUUUUCCAUUUCCCUGGAAAGAAUUGAGUGAAGUUGACAGCAGGAUUGCAGAAGUGGGAGCACCCAAGAAGCAGUACACUAAUGUCAUCUGGGGGAAAAUGAAGCAAUUAUAUUAAAACAUAAUCCUCAAAGAAGUCUGUAACACCGGAACUAAGGAGUUCUUCAGGAAACUGUGUCCUGAGGCAGGAGUAAACAGUACCUGUCAUACAGUAUAUAGUUUAAAAGAAAAAAUCUAAAAGAAUCAGGAUCUUUUUUUAAUCACUCCCCUAGGCAAGUACAGACAACUAUAAACAGGAACAAAGUAGAGAAUACAACUGAGGUCAUUUAAAAGUCUUUCGUCAUGUCAUGAAGUGACAUCUGUAUGAUUGAAAUAAACCAGACGGCUACUUGUGCUGUGACCACUUCAGGUUAUCUUAAUAAAAUGAGAUUGCAAAGGGGUCUUUCAGUACCAGGUAUGCCCGACGACCUUGAUUGUAGAGAACUGGCUGACCCAGCUCAACUUCUCAAUUACUGUCUCAGCUGGCUUUUAAAUUUUUCUUGCCAAAUUUUGUUUCAGUUUGAGUAAUCUUUGAUCAUUUACAAUAUACCGUUUAAAGUGUUCCUAUCGGACAGGAAAAUAUGUUUUGGGAACACCUUUCUCACCUCACGCUCUCUUUGGUGAUUGGUAAGGAAAGGAAGAAAGCAAGCAAUUUGAACAUGGACUCUCUCUGUUCCAGAUUGAGGGGGUGUGAAACUCAGAAGAAAGGAGAUGAAAGCCUAAGAUGCUGUGUUUUCUCACCAGCAUGCAUAGUGAAAUGCACAGAACACCAUUGUUUACAGUAUCUCUGGGCUGUGAAGCCGCCGUGAUUGCAGCUGGCUGGGGCAGACUGAAGGGUAGCAUCACCAGAAAACCAGCUCAUUUUAGAAAAACACAAAUCCGUUUCACUGCCUGUGGACAAAAUUACUGACUGACAUGCUAAACCUAUUAAAUAUGUAUUUUGCAAAUUUUGAAAUGAGGAAAAAUGCUACAUAAAAAUUUUUACAGAUGCUGAAUGAUUGUAAAUGUGGUUAGAGAUGUGGGACUUGCUCCAACUUUGUUCUUUCGUGGAUUGCUAUUAGCUUACAUUUGAAAUCUCUGUUGGCCACGUAUUUCACAUUGUUCUUCCAAAUGUAAUCAUUUCUCUCUUUUAUCUGAUCUCCUACAGUCUCUCUGUUUUCAUCAAUAUCUGACAGCAAUUCCCAAAGAUCCAAUAUAGUCUACUCUAAUAUCCUUAUGUGUACUCUCUUCUCUCUUUGAAAUCUAAUACCUUAGCAGUGAAAUAAUUUAUUGUGCUUUAUUUAGACUUUUAUUUUUUGCAUGUGUUUUGAUAUUAUCCUUUUGAAAUGAGUUAUUUGGAAAUUUAAACCAACUGUUCACCAAAAGUUAUGAAAGCAUGAUUAAGAAUUUUUCUCUCUUUUUAAAUCCCCUUUAAACCUUCAUUUUUGUGUGUGUGCUAUGGCAAAUGCCACAACAUCCAUGGGUUUGGCAAUGAUGGGAAAAUGAAGAUGAAUACUUCUUCGAGCCCUAGCUAAUGGGUAAAGCCAUACAGAAGAUCCAAUGAGCCAGAAAAAUCAGUGACAUUUUAUUUUUCUCAGUAACCCUUAGUUUAUAUGGUUGUCAGAACCUGGUGAUGUUUAAUUCACUGAAUAUGACCUUCUGGUGAAACAACUAUGCCACCAAUGUACUUGCUAAUAAAUAAAUGAGAGCUAUGUUUUGGUUCCAAAUU
Molecule: long non-coding RNA, 2085 nt
Organism: Macaca fascicularis (crab-eating macaque)
Lineage: Eukaryota; Metazoa; Chordata; Mammalia; Primates; Cercopithecidae
Source: Ensembl